CAAUAGCGUAUAUUAAAGUUGUUGCGGUUAAAAAGCUCGUAGUUGGAUUUCUGCUGAGGACGACCGGUCCGCCCUCCGGGUGAGCAUCUGGUUCGGCCUUGGCAUCUUCUUGGUGAACGUAUCUGCACUUAACUGAGCGGGCGUGGGAGACGGAUCGUUUACUUUGAAAAAAUCAGAGUGUUUCUAGCAGGCAGCUCGCUCUUGCAUAGGUUAGCAUGGAUAAUUUAAUAGGACUCUGGUGCUAUUUUGUUGGUUUCGAACACCGGAGUAAUGAUUAAAAGGGGCAGUCAGGGGCACUCGUAUUCCGUCGAGAGAGGUGAAAUUCUCAGACCAAUGGAAGACGAACCACUGCGAAAGCAUUUGCCAGGGAUGUUUUCACUGAUCAAGAACGAAAGUUAGGGGAUCGAAGACGAUCAGAU
RNAcentral lists this ribosomal RNA (419 nucleotides) under uncultured eukaryote. RNAcentral describes it as "bacterial SSU rRNA". It matches the Rfam family "Eukaryotic small subunit ribosomal RNA", at positions 592 to 1013 of the family's 1831-position model. The record is from RNAcentral.